RNAcentral lists this ribosomal RNA (225 nucleotides) under uncultured bacterium. RNAcentral's name for it is "partial 16S ribosomal RNA". It matches the Rfam family "Bacterial small subunit ribosomal RNA", at positions 524 to 748 of the family's 1533-position model. The record is from RNAcentral.
UACGGAGGGGGCUAGCGUUGUUCGGAAUACUGGGCGUAAAGCGUGCGCAGGCGGCUUUGCAAGACAGAUGUGAAAUCCCCGGGCUUAACCUGGGAACUGCAUUUGUGACUGCAUGGCUAGAGUGCGGCAGAGGGGGAUGGAAUUCCUGGGUGUAGCGGUGAAAUGCGCAGAUAUCAGGAAGAACACCCGUGGCGAAGGCGGCUCUCUGGGACGGUACUGACGCUA